CUCCGGGGACGGCGAACGCCGAAGCCUGCCCGAACCAGGAGGAGGAGCAGUCUCGGCAGAAUCCGUGACACGAAUGGACUUAAUUUACAAGUAAAGGACAACACAUGCACCUCUGCUGUCCACAGGGAGAGAGAUGCUAGACACAUGGGCCCCUCUUCCUCUCUGAGAAACAAUGUAUCUCCAACACCACAUGUCCAGGCCUCUGUCUGUUUAACAGAAUGAUGGAGAGGACAAGAACCAAGUGCACUUGAACGGUGGACUGAAUGAGUCUGAUGCGGGAGUACGGGAUGCACCUCUGACCAGGGAGAAACCUCAUCCAACUGGGCCAACUGGGACCCAGUACUGUCACAGUUACACCUGUGGGAUAUUCAAGUGGGGUCACCUCAGCGCCAUAGCAACGCCUGCGGCCGUGCUCCCUGGGUCUCGGGGAUCCUGGGAAGGGAGCUGGAGGAAUGCUGUAUCUGAUUGUCUGCCUCACGGAGAGGUGGCCACAGGCUGGACCUUGCACCCCGCACCACGUAUCACAUGUCCGCUAAGCAAAUCCAGCUCCGCUCUAAGCCCCAGAACCAUCCAGCUGACACCAACCCAGCCAUCCCAUGGAGCAUGGACACAGCCUGGGAAUAGGGCUGUGGAGGUGGAGGUGCCAUAGUCAUCAAAUGUGAGCUGCACACAGACUGUACAGAGAGGUGUGUAAAAUGUUAGCGCCUCUGAAUGAGUGAGGACGUUGGCUUUUUAUGAAUUCAGUCUCAUUCCAACUGCUGCUAUUCCAACUGCCACUAAGGAGAUAACCUUUGCAUGGGAUCACUGACCUACCAAUAGUGAUAUAGCGUUCAACCCUUUGAAUAAUCUGUAAUACACUUUUUUGUGUAUAAAAUGUAUUCUGAAAUCUGCAUGUUAUGUAUUAGGUGUAAUAAAAUGC
Molecule: long non-coding RNA, 919 nt
Organism: Coregonus clupeaformis (lake whitefish)
Lineage: Eukaryota; Metazoa; Chordata; Actinopteri; Salmoniformes; Salmonidae
Exons: 4
Source: RefSeq, a predicted model, not a curated record